UUUAAACAUAUUUAUGUGAGGCAUCACACUUAUGUCUGAAAUUUUCCAAAACUACGUGUCGUCCCGUCCGUCCAGCAAACUGAUUGCAGUAAAGUAUCGAUGAAAGAUAUAAAAAAGACCGGCGACACAGGAGGUAUAGUUGCUAUAUAUCCAGGAGGAAAACGGACAGAAAUUUGUGAUUUGAAAACUGAUGGAGGAGGAUGGCUUGUAAGAUAAUGAAUUAACAUUUUCGCCCAAUCAAAAUCGCAUCCUAUCAUUAAAUGUCAUAUACAAUCACCUAUCGGUUCGAUAUGGAUAAAGGCAGUGGUUUGAAAUAAGCAAACAUCAGUUAUCACCAACAUUAUCUAAACUGAAUCAUCUCUGUCAUAAAACAAGCUCUCACUCGCUACUAUAAAAUUACCGCUAUUGAUUUGGUUAUGUUAGCUUUGGAAAAUAAUUUACAUUUUGGAGUUUUUAGUUCGGAUGUCGCCUUUUUGACCAAAUUUAAAAUCUAAAUAGUGAAAAGUAUUGAUCAGUCUUGCUGCCAUAUCGCACACAAUUUAACAAUUAACAAUAUAAAUAAUAAUUUUCUGGGGUAUUUCAACGAAGAAAAGAUGGAAGUCAAGACUUCUACAGGUCAUGGAAUGACUAUGUGAAGGGAUUCGGCGAUGAACAGGAAGAAUUUUGGCUUGAUACGGCGUUUUGAGCACCUUGUAUACAAAAAGCCUAAGAAGAUUGGACUGGCGUCAAGAAAUACGCAAAAUACUCGUCUUUCAAGAUCGGCAGUGCAAGUACGCAAUAUCAGCUCGGUAUCGGUGGCUAUUCUGGUGAUGCUACGGACGCCAUGUCCCCAAAAACGGAAUGAAAUUCUCAACAAAAGAUAAGGAUCACGACACUUGGAGCAAAAAUUGCGCUGUGUCCCACAAGGGAGCAUGGUGGUAUAGUAAAUGCCAUUUAUCCAAUCUUAAUGGAAAAUACUAUAAAGGUGGUACAAACUCUUCUUAUGGUGAUGGGGUCAAUUGGUAGGGAUGGAAAAGAUAUAAUUACUCACUCAAAUUUACGGAGAUGAAAAUUUGACCAACUGCAUAAAGUGGGAGAAAGAUGAAGUGCUGAAAAAUAGUUUCCAAACAAUAUUUUAAUAUUUUCUUUUAAUUUGCAAUACAUAUACAGAAAUCACAGGAGGGUGGCAGACAAUACUGGGAGCUGACUUUUCAAUACGGGAUGUCAUCUCGCUUCCAAAUGUCUGCACAGAAAAUCUGGUUUUUAAUUUCGUUUUCUGAUUGCGAUUACAGGUCUGAUUUUCCUAAUACUAAACCAUAAAUCACGAGUACUCCUGGGUUGAGGAUAUGUAGUCUUAAUAUAGUCUUAAUAUCGACAUACAUAUACGUGUGUUCAAAUCAUUAAACUUUUCCCAAUUUUAAUGCAUUCAUGAUAUAUGAGCUGAUAAGGACAGACAAUAUAGUUGCAAGGGGUGAUUUGGUGUAUGCAAACCAACAGCUAACAAACGUUUAUUUUGUUUUUAUACAUCUGCAGAGAUAGACUAUCUAAAUAGUGAAUGAUUUUGACAAGAAGGUUAUUGUAACUUCAUUCAGAAACAUAAGCAAAAUCGUAAUAUAUACGAUAUAUCACAUAUAUAUCACGGAAAAUAUAAUUCAACAUUUGUAUUACAUAU
This is a non-coding RNA of Styela clava, 1651 nucleotides long. NCBI's taxonomy places the organism in Eukaryota, Metazoa, Chordata, Ascidiacea, Stolidobranchia, Styelidae. The record is from RefSeq and is a predicted model, not a curated record.